GAGGGUACAGCUCAGUGGUAGAGCACAUGCUUAGCAUGCACGAGGUCCUGGGUUCAAUCCCCAGUACCUCCA
Transfer RNA from Camelus ferus (Wild Bactrian camel), 72 nucleotides. It matches the Rfam family "tRNA". From Rfam's summary of the family: Transfer RNA (tRNA) molecules are approximately 80 nucleotides in length. NCBI's taxonomy places the organism in Eukaryota, Metazoa, Chordata, Mammalia, Artiodactyla, Camelidae. The record is from Rfam.